This 363-nucleotide transfer-messenger RNA is filed under the name Lactobacillales bacterium. It matches the Rfam family "transfer-messenger RNA". From Rfam's summary of the family: Bacterial tmRNA, also known as 10Sa RNA or SsrA, is named for its dual tRNA and mRNA-like properties. Its role is to liberate the mRNA from a stalled ribosome. Lineage: Bacteria; Bacillati; Bacillota; Bacilli; Lactobacillales. The record is from RNAcentral.
GGGGUCGUUACGGAUUCGACAGGCGUUGUUUGAGCUUUAAUUGCGCUUUGAAGGUUACGUCUUCAUUAAAACGUUACAGUUAAAUAUAACUGCUGAAAAAAAAGAACCUUUCGCUUUAGCUGCCUAAAAAACAGCUGAGUGAGAUCUGCUUUUCAUCGCCCAUGUGAAAAUGUUAGGUCUUAAUUAAGUGGGCUACGCUAAUCACUCCCGUCUGCAGUGUUUAGAAGAGAUUAUCAGACUAGCAAAGUGGAUAUGGUGUUGUGUGGCAUUCUACGGCGCGAAAUCAAAAUUGCACAACUAUAAGCGUAGAGGUUAAAGUGGCAAAAUGUUUGGACAGGGGUUCAACUCCCCUCGGCUCCAUUU